GACGAACGCUGGCGGCGUGCUUAACACAUGCAAGUCGAACGGAAAGGCCCUGCUUUUGUGGGGUGCUCGAGUGGCGAACGGGUGAGUAACACGUGAGUAACCUGCCCUUGACUUUGGGAUAACUUCAGGAAACUGGGGCUAAUACCGGAUAGGAGCUCCUGCUGCAUGGUGGGGGUUGGAAAGUUUCGGCGGUUGGGGAUGGACUCGCGGCUUAUCAGCUUGUUGGUGGGGUAGUGGCUUACCAAGGCUUUGACGGGUAGCCGGCCUGAGAGGGUGACCGGCCACAUUGGGACUGAGAUACGGCGCAGACUCCUACAGGAGGCAGCAGUGGGGAAUAUUGCACAAUGGGCGGAAGCCUGAUGCAGCAACGCCGCGUGCGGGAUGACGGCCUUCGGGUUGUAAACCGCUUUCGCCUGUGACGAAGCGUGAGUGACGGUAAUGGGUAAAGAAGCACCGGCUAACUACGUG
Molecule: ribosomal RNA, 468 nt
Filed under: uncultured bacterium
Lineage: Bacteria
Description: partial 16S ribosomal RNA
Rfam family: Bacterial small subunit ribosomal RNA
Source: RNAcentral